UGCAGUUUAGUAUUGUCAUUAUAGUCAUAGAUUUAUUAUAGGUUAUUAAUUUUUUUACUUUAUACACUUUGAAAUGUAUAAUUUAUCAUUAAUAUCCCCUAUUUUCAAAAAUUGGCAGCCACGUAUGAAACAUCCCUAACCUCCCAAACCUAACGUACGAAUCUACAUUUCUCCAUUUCUAGGUAUUCGAAAAAGAAAGAAACGACGAAUGGAUGGGUACAAUUAAACGUAGCCCUAAACAUAUCUAUCCAAUUGACUACAAAUCUCGUUUGUGGCGUACAAAAAAUGAAAUGGAGCUAUCAUUCAGAAUGUGUAUGUAGGUCAGAACCUUGACGAUUAAACAGCAUAGAACGAUUUGUGUCGAUAUUCUCGAAAAUCAAGAAAUGAGAAGGAUGCGAUUAAUUACAUAUUAUCGUGUGUUUUGCAAUGGAAUGUGGAACGAUUCGGAAGAGGAUAUCGUCACCAGAGACUUCCAUCAAUUAAUAGUCGAUGAAGGAAGUGACGAAGGUAAGAGAUGUGGAAGAGAAACUUACAACCAAAGUCGAUGUCGAACUCAGAGACUUACAUCAAUAAAUAGUCAAUGUCGAACUCAGAGACUGAAGAAACGAAAAAUUGGGGGUUGAAGACAGCAAGAUUGAAGAAAUCUUGUUUAUAAAGAUAUUAGCGAAAACUUCAAAAGAAUACCUCGAAAUCGAUUAAGAAUGGAAACAAAAUCAGACCCUGGUAUACUUGGUUUCGGAUGUCUGCUGAUUCUUGCUUCCUUCAUAUGAGAUUUAUUGGCCUUUUUGCCCUUGUUGAUGCUCCUGCUGCAUACCCAAUAAAUGGAUGGACCGGAGUUGCUGCAUUAUCUCAUGUAUAGUGUGAGGUACUAAUACACCUUCCAAAGCUGCUUAACUUGAAGAACCUUGCCAAAACUAUGUUAUAGCUACCAAUAUAAACCCUACCCUUCAUGAAGUAAGAAAAAAUUGAAUACCCUCGUAUACUUGGUUUCGGAUGAUUCUUGCUUCCUUCAUAUGAGGUUUAUCGGCCUUUUUGCCCUUGUUGAUGCUCCUGGAAUACUGAGAUGCGAUAGAGAAACCAUGAAGAAGAUGAAGGAGAAGGAAAUAAAUGCAGAAAUAAAUCACGAUAGAAUACAGACUAACCUUAUGCGUUCAAGUUUGAUGAAGCAGAAUUUCAAAGAUGCAAUCGAUACAGGAAGAAUAUGAAGCAGAAUAUCAUAUAUCCAAGUAACCGGUGGAUAUAUAGUUCAAAAACUGAAAGAACCGUAAUGUUUAUGAUAUUUAAGGUUUAUUGGAAUAGGAAGAUUUGAAAUUUCAAAUCCGAAAAAUUAAGAAGCUUUGGCUGGAUUAGGUCUUUUUCCUGCUACAAUUUCUGAAUCUCGUUGUAGUGAAUCGACUGCUGAACGAGUCAAGGACGAGUCUAACAAUGAGGAAUGGUUAGAAGAAUGGGUUGAAGAAUUACAUUCUUAUGAUAAUACAUCACAUUUUCGUAAGAAUACUUGGAAUCAAGUUGAUUCUUUGGACCAUUGAAGAAGAUUAAGUGCAUUUGUUCAAUAACCGUUUGACAAGAUGAAUGGGGCUGCAUUAGUUGCUAUCAUUGUGUUGAAGACCUAAUAAGAAUAACUUGAAGAAUGAAUAAUGUUUGAUCAUAAUCACAAUUUUAGAAUGUUGAUAAUUUUUAAGAUUUUUAUUCAUUUUUGUUGAUAUUCUUUUAGAAUAUGUAUAAUUAUAUUAAAAUGUAUAAGACUUUUAAUCUGUAGGAAUAUGUAUUUAACUUCAGAUGUAUAAAAAUAUAUAUUAGAAUGUUGUUAUUUUUCAA
Molecule: non-coding RNA, 1818 nt
Organism: Lactuca sativa (garden lettuce)
Lineage: Eukaryota; Viridiplantae; Streptophyta; Magnoliopsida; Asterales; Asteraceae
Source: RefSeq, a predicted model, not a curated record